RNAcentral lists this transfer RNA (75 nucleotides) under Pelistega suis. Its description in RNAcentral is "tRNA-Arg". It matches the Rfam family "tRNA". From Rfam's summary of the family: Transfer RNA (tRNA) molecules are approximately 80 nucleotides in length. RNAcentral also lists the same sequence under 1 other name. Lineage: Bacteria; Pseudomonadati; Pseudomonadota; Betaproteobacteria; Burkholderiales; Alcaligenaceae. The record is from RNAcentral.
CUCCCCGUAGUUCAAUGGAUAGAAUAAACCCCUCCUAAGGGUUAGAUACAGGUUCGAUUCUUGUCGGGGAGGCCA